Molecule: ribosomal RNA, 387 nt
Filed under: uncultured Treponema sp.
Lineage: Bacteria; Pseudomonadati; Spirochaetota; Spirochaetia; Treponematales; Treponemataceae
Description: bacterial SSU rRNA
Rfam family: Bacterial small subunit ribosomal RNA
Source: RNAcentral
UGGGGAAUAUUGGGCAAUGGGCGCAAGCCUGACCCAGCAACGCCGCGUGAGGGAAGAAGGUUUUCGGAUUGUAAACCUCUGUCGCAGAGGACGAAGGAAGUGACGGUAAUCUGUGAGGAAGCCCCGGCUAACUACGUGCCAGCAGCCGCGGUAACACGUAAGUUGCGAGCGUUGUUCGGAAUUAUUGGGCGUAAAGGGCAUGUAGGCGGUUUUGCAAGCUUGGUGUGAAAUGCAUAGGCUCAACCUAUGAACUGCAUUGAGAACUACAAGACUUGAGUUACUGAGGUGGAACUGGAAUUCCAGGUGUAGGGUGAAAUCUGCAGAUAUCUGGAAGAACACCAAUGGCGAAGGCAAGUUUCAAGCAGAUAACUGACGCUGAGGUGCGAA